GGGGAACGUUUCGAAGGAACGCUAAUACCGCAUACGUCCUACGGGAGAAAGCAGGGGACCUUCGGGCCUUGCGCUAUCAGAUGAGCCUAGGGUCGGAUUAGCUAGUUGGUGAGGUAAUGGCUCACCCAGGCGACCAUCCCUAAACGGGUGAGAGGAUGAAAGUCCACUGGAACUGAGACCGGUCCAGACUCCUAGGGAGGCAGCGUGGGGAAUAUUGGACAAUGGGCGAAAGCCUGGUCCCACCCUGCCCCGUGGGUGAAGAAGGGCUUCGGAAUGGAAAGCCCUUUUAAUUGGGAAGAAAGGCAGUAAGGUAAUACCUUGGCGUUUUGACCUUUCCCUUG
Molecule: ribosomal RNA, 341 nt
Filed under: Pseudomonas sp. AJ 1-4
Lineage: Bacteria; Pseudomonadati; Pseudomonadota; Gammaproteobacteria; Pseudomonadales; Pseudomonadaceae
Description: bacterial SSU rRNA
Rfam family: Bacterial small subunit ribosomal RNA
Source: RNAcentral